UACAGAGACUGCAAGCGUUAUUCGGAUUCACUGGGCGUAAAGGGUGCGCAGGCGGUCGGGUGUGUCAGAUGUGAAAUCCCGAGGCUCAACCUCGGAACUGCGUCUGAAACUACUCGACUAGAGUACUGGAGAGGGUAACGGAAUUCACGGUGUAGCAGUGAAAUGCGUAGAUAUCGUGAGGAACACCAGUGGCGAAGGCGGCUUGCCAGAACGCGCUCGACGGUGAGGGAUGAAAGCUGGGGGAGCAAACCGG
RNAcentral lists this ribosomal RNA (253 nucleotides) under uncultured bacterium. Its description in RNAcentral is "partial 16S ribosomal RNA". It matches the Rfam family "Bacterial small subunit ribosomal RNA", at positions 524 to 776 of the family's 1533-position model. The record is from RNAcentral.